CCUACGGGAGGCUGCAGUGGGGAAUAUUGCACAAUGGGGGAAACCCUGAUGCAGCGACGCCGCGUGAGUGAAGAAGUAUUUCGGGAUGUAAAGCUCUAUCAGCAGGGAAGAAAAUGACGGUACCUGAUUAAGAAGCCCCGGCUAACUACGUGCCAGCAGCCGCGGUAAUACGUAGGGGGCAAGCGUUAUCCGGAUUUACUGGGUGUAAAGGGAGCGUAGACGGCAGCACAAGUCUGGAGUGAAAUGCGGGGGCUUAACCCCGGAACUGCGUUGGAAACUGUGCAGCUAGAGUGCAGGAGAGGUAAGUGGAAUUCCUAGUGUAGCGGUGAAAUGCGUAGAUAUUAGGAGGAACACCAGUGGCGAAGGCGGCUUACUGGACUGUAACUGACGUUGAGGCUCGAAAGCGUGGGGAGCAAACAGGAUUAGAUACCCGGGUAGUC
RNAcentral lists this ribosomal RNA (440 nucleotides) under uncultured bacterium. RNAcentral describes it as "partial 16S ribosomal RNA". It matches the Rfam family "Bacterial small subunit ribosomal RNA", at positions 338 to 795 of the family's 1533-position model. The record is from RNAcentral.